Molecule: ribosomal RNA, 465 nt
Filed under: uncultured bacterium
Lineage: Bacteria
Description: partial 16S ribosomal RNA
Rfam family: Bacterial small subunit ribosomal RNA
Source: RNAcentral
GACGAACGCUGGCGGCGUGCUUAACACAUGCAAGUCGAACGGAAAGGCCCCCUUGUGGGGUACUCGAGUGGCGAACGGGUGAGUAACACGUGAGUAACCUACCCCUGACUUUGGGAUAACUUCAGGAAACUGGGGCUAAUACCGGAUAGGAGCUCCUGCUGCAUGGUGGGGGUUGGAAAGUUUCGGCGGUUGGGGAUGGACUCGCGGCUUAUCAGCUUGUUGGUGGGGUAGUGGCUCACCAAGGCUUUGACGGGUAGCCGGCCUGAGAGGGUGACCGGCCACAUUGGGACUGAGAUACGGCCCAGACUCCUACGGGAGGCAGCAGUGGGGAAUAUUGCACAAUGGGCGGAAGCCUGAUGCAGCAACGCCGCGUGCGGGAUGACGGCCUUCGGGUUGUAAACCGCCUUCGCCUGUGACGAAGCGUGAGUGACGGUAAUGGGUAAAGAAGCACCGGCUAACUACGUG